AGUUUCAUUAGUCAUCCAAGAGUAGCUAAAAUAAUUUUAGUUAGCUAAAAUUUAGCAAGGCCCUUAGUGUAUAGCAAUAUAUGUGCCAUGCUUCACAAAUUGGUAUCAACCACUACUUUUGACUUCAGUCAGUGCAAGCAAGCGUAAUACUACUGCGACCGCGCACAUCGUGUCUAUCGGAAGAUAUACAUAGUGGAUGAAAAGCAUGAACCUUUAUCUUAACAACAUUAUAUUACCUGAAGCGUGUCCACAGCUGAGGGUACCAUGAAUGUAUUGUGGCGAUUUCCAUGGUGUCCAUAUGUUCCUUUUGGACCAGAUACUCCACAUGAUAAUGGUCACACUUUAGGGCUCUAGUGUAUUGUACUUGGCAUGCUAGUACAGAGCUUCACUGCCUCGCAGCCUAUCCAACGCGUGGGUCGCGUGAAAAAUUUUCCGUCGCUUGAUCUUGUUUCUACGGUCCCAAAUUAGCCCACAAACAUUUACUGUACCUGCCCCACGUGUCAGAGCCUUUAACGGUGAGGCACUGAGGCAUGCCCAGCAGUGGCCCUCGUGCAAUCUGGCCAUUUUUGACGUAGUCCGAAUGAAGAGAAAACUCAUCUUCUGCAGCGUCGGGGCCUCAACCACCUUGGGUCCCUACACGCUCUUUGACAAAUCCAAGAGCGGCCUCAUGCACCUUUGCCAAUGUUGGCCCUAAAAGUGCAUUUAGCCCUCGUAGUGGGUUUUAGUAAUUGAAUAACACUACUACAUACAAUAACUUUUACCGUGGUAGGUAGAAUGACUUUACUAAGGCGGUUUUUGCAACCGCCUCGGAUGAAAGGUUACGGUUAAUGUUGGCCUUUUCUGAGGCGAUUUGUUGUCCGUCUCGAUAAAUGAAAUAAAAAACAAAAAAUAAAUAAAAAGCCUGUCAAGCCCAUCAUGGGCCCACCAAGCCCAACCACUUGAUCCGGUUGCUGCCUCUGCCCCCACUACCGCCGCUGCCGCUUGUCGGAUCCGACCGCCCCACCACUGGAUCUGGCCCCAACCCCGUCGCCUCGCCCGCGCCCCACCACUGGAUUCGGCCUCCACGUCGCAAGAUGUGGCUGAGGCAGGAAGGGAGGGGGCGCAGUGUUGAAGGAGGAAGGGGAGGGGACGCUGUGCUUAGGAGGUGGGUUUUUUCGAACCGCCUCGGUUAAUGAAAAAUGACUGUCUUGGUUAAUUGAGGCAUUAACUGAGGUGGUUUAAAAAUCUGCCCGCCUCCAAGGCCUAUUUGUAAACGCCGCGCAAAAGAUUUUGUGUAGCAGUGAAAUAGAGUUCUUUGCGACAAUUAUUAUCAAACUCUUGUCAAAUCACAAAUGAAGAAAAAGGCAAGUACAAACAUUCUCUCUGCCAUGUUGUCCUCAUCUCCUCGCCUAGCAGCAUGAUCAAAGGCAUCGCGAGAGAACGAGAUAGAGCUGGAUCAAGGGGGGCAAAGAGGGUAUUUGAAUGCGGAGAGGUAUGGUCUGAGGGCCUAGACAGAGAGCGACAAGAGAUGAGGGUGGAGCUUAACAGUCAUGUUCCCAGAAGAAAACAGGAUGCGUGAAACAGGAGCUUAAAGUGGUA
This 1578-nucleotide long non-coding RNA is filed under the name Sorghum bicolor (sorghum). Its description in RNAcentral is "long non-coding RNA (SBIC_LNC001469)". The record is from RNAcentral. Lineage: Eukaryota; Viridiplantae; Streptophyta; Magnoliopsida; Poales; Poaceae.